UGGGGAAUAUUGCACAAUGGAGGGAACUCUGAUGCAGCGACGCCGCGUGAACGAAGAAGGCUUUCAAGUCGUAAAGUUCUUUUAUAUGGGAAGAGAAUGACGGUACCAUAAGAAAAAGCCCCGGCUAACUACGUGCCAGCAGCCGCGGUAAUACGUAGGGGGCUAGCGUUGUCCGGAAUCACUGGGCGUAAAGGGUUCGCAGGCGGAAAUGCAAGUCAGGUGUAAAAGGCAGUAGCUUAACUACUGUAAGCAUUUGAAACUGCAUAUCUUGAAAAGAGUAGAGGUAAGUGGAAUUUUUAGUGUAGCGGUAAAAUGCGUAGAUAUUAAAAAGAAUACCGGUGGCGAAGGCGACUUACUGGGCUCAUUCUGACGCUGAGGAACGAAAGCGUGGGUAGCAAACAGG
RNAcentral lists this ribosomal RNA (403 nucleotides) under Fusobacteriota bacterium. RNAcentral describes it as "Fusobacteria bacterium partial 16S ribosomal RNA". It matches the Rfam family "Bacterial small subunit ribosomal RNA", at positions 355 to 776 of the family's 1533-position model. Lineage: Bacteria; Fusobacteriati; Fusobacteriota. The record is from RNAcentral.